UAGAGCUGCCCUGAGUGAGCUGUCAUCAGUCCACCAUUGUUUCAAACGCCAGAGCUGGUGUUGACAAGAAUGUCUCCUACACUGUUAAAAAUUGCUGUUAAUUUACGUCAAAAUUUUAACAGUAUAAUCCUGUUAUGUUAAAAAACAGUGCAUUACUGUUUUUUACGGUUGGUGAAAUGACGUAGAUAAAAUUUAACGUUAUUUUACCGUAUUUAUUGCACAAAGGAAAGAAAACAGUACUUAACAGUAUUUUGGGAACAGAAAGCUGCAGCGAGCACAUGUGGAUUUUCAUCCGUCUUUAUAUUGUGAUUUAACUGUGCUAAACCCGUCAACGUGUCAACGGCGUCAUAGAGUGGAGCUGGAUUGAUUCAGAUAUUCCCCGAUUACAAGGCGCUUCCUUGGAAUAAAUCCUGAAAAAGGCACCAAGGGUGGACAAGUCCUAUCAAAGCGGACAGGGAAGGUCGGCCACAAAAUGAAAUCAGUCAACACUCGGGUUGCCAGUCUACUUAAGAAACUAAUGGACUUAGAGUGAGACUUCAUAUAAGUGAACUCACUCAUCCACUGACAUACCACACACACACACACCAUACACAUACUUUCACACAUGACAAAAACAUGCUUUUCAUUUGUUAGUCGCACAAUUUUUUUAUAAUGUUAUGUAAAUGUUUUGUUUAUUCAGUUAAACGAAAGUUUAUUCUGAGGCUUACGUUUUAGUCAUUCCACUUGAAUCAGCCACUAAUUUUGAGAAUAUUUUGUGAUUAAAGUGGCUUUGGUUUUUCACAUUUUCAAGUUUUAAUAAAGCACUUUUUGAAGUUACACUGCAUUGUGUUAAAUUUUUAAUGUUUCAAAGGCUAUAUUUGUACAUUGUAUUAAAACAUGGUUUUAUAGCAAGACUUCUAAGGGGAAAUUUAUAAAAUCAAAAAAAAAUCUAGAAAAAUAAUUCCACCUUUUUUUCUUAACAGUCCAUUUCUCAAUAUAAUAACAUGUUUGUAGUUUACAGUUAAAAGUGAAAAAAAAACAUUAAUUAACUGUUGCUUUUGACAGUAAUUUACUGUUAAUGUAUAAAAUAACAGCUUUAUGCUGUAUUUCCAAAAACAGUAACAAACUGUAAAUUUCAACAACAGCAAGACACUGUUAAUUUAACAGUAACUUGCUGGCAACCGUGCUGCCAGUUACUUACCGUUUUUUAACGGGACAAUUUUUAACAGUGUAAGCGAUUGAGGUGUUUUGUUGCUGGAUGUAAUAAUGAUCAUAGCAGUCAUCAUUUACUCCCGACAUCUGAGCGCCUGAAGACGCAGUGGAUA
Molecule: long non-coding RNA, 1304 nt
Organism: Cyprinus carpio carpio
Lineage: Eukaryota; Metazoa; Chordata; Actinopteri; Cypriniformes; Cyprinidae
Source: Ensembl